Long non-coding RNA from Pristis pectinata (smalltooth sawfish), 436 nucleotides. RefSeq lists it as uncharacterized. The transcript has 3 exons. NCBI's taxonomy places the organism in Eukaryota, Metazoa, Chordata, Chondrichthyes, Rhinopristiformes, Pristidae. The record is from RefSeq and is a predicted model, not a curated record.
UGAAACAACGCUGGAGAGACCACUGCUGUACUUCAUCAUCAAAAAAACUUGUGGUCAGUAGCAUUACAAGUUGGGAAAGUUCAGAAGUAUAUUGGGACUACAAAUACAGAAAUAUGGACUUUAAAUUGAACCAGAAGGUCAGUCCUCAGCCGUCCCUUUUCUAAGGAAAAGAGCCAUUACAAGAUUGGAAGGAAUAUUUUGUUGCUGCUGAGAUGAUGACUGAUUUUCUAUGUUGCACUUCCAGCAGGGAUUCCCACCCACAGGGAACGCACAGUGGAAAUUCAGCAGUGUGCUGCACACAAUUUACCAGCUGUUUAUAGUUCUCGUUGCAGAUGUGAUGAAGCUCAGAGCAAAACAACUAUCCAUCACAUAUUAGAAGAUUUUGCAAGAAGCUUCCAAAGUCCUCUUUCAAAUUAUGACAACAUGUUUUCAAAUA